AACACGCGCAGACGGAAAGGGUGGCUAAUGCCCCGGGGUUGCCCCGCUUCCCGGUUCGCCUCCCUGCGCGGGAGGAUGGAAAAGAAACGGCGCCGCGUCGGUGGGUUCGCUUGCUGUGGGGCGGUGCCAAUUACUCCAAUCAACCCCAGUUUCUCCAGCCAGUUACAGCUCAUAGUGCUGCUGUGGAAAUGGUGAUGAAAGAGGGCAAGCAAGCCCAGCCUAUUGAAACUCUUCUCCCUCAUGCUGUGACCCCGAGCCUCUGCAACAGCAAUUUGGAAUCAACCAAAUAAAGGACUCACCUCUCAAUGAACCUUUGGAAGACUGACCCACGCAGACAUUGGCAGAUCUCUUCAAUGUAUGGCUGGCAAAAGAGGA
Thamnophis elegans (Western terrestrial garter snake) is the source of this 375-nucleotide long non-coding RNA. RefSeq lists it as uncharacterized. NCBI's taxonomy places the organism in Eukaryota, Metazoa, Chordata, Lepidosauria, Squamata, Natricidae. The record is from RefSeq and is a predicted model, not a curated record. The transcript is spliced from 4 exons.